Molecule: ribosomal RNA, 664 nt
Filed under: uncultured Gammaproteobacteria bacterium
Lineage: Bacteria; Pseudomonadati; Pseudomonadota; Gammaproteobacteria
Description: bacterial SSU rRNA
Rfam family: Bacterial small subunit ribosomal RNA
Source: RNAcentral
UGGCGGUAGGCUUAACACAUGCAAGUCGUGCGAGAAAGUAUCUUCGGAUAUGAGUAGAGCGGCGGACGGGUGAGUAACGCGUAGGAAUCUACCUAGUAGAAGGGGAUAGCCCGGGGAAACCCGGAUUAAUACCGUAUACCUCCUUCGGGAGAAAGAAGGCCUCUCUUUGAAGCUUUCGCUACUAGAUGAGCCUGCGUAAGAUUAGCUUGUUGGUGAGGUAAAGGCUCACCAAGGCGACGAUCUUUAGCUGGUCUGAGAGGACGAUCAGCCACAUUGGGACUGAGACACGGCCCAGACUCCUACGGGAGGCAGCAGUGGGGAAUAUUGGACAAUGGGCGCAAGCCUGAUCCAGCCAUACCGCGUGUGUGAAGAAGGCCUUCGGGUUGUAAAGCACUUUAAGCAGGGAGAAAAAGUUAUAAGUUAAUACCUUAUAACCCUGAUGUUACCUGCAGAAUAAGCACCGGCUAAUUCCGUGCCAGCAGCCGCGGUAAUACGGAAGGUGCAAGCGUUAAUCGGAAUUACUGGGCGUAAAGCGCGCGUAGGUGGUUUGUUAAGUUGGAUGUGAAAGCCCUGGGCUCAACCUAGGAACUGCAUCCAAAACUAACUCACUAGAGUACGAUAGAGGGAGGUAGAAUUCAUAGUGUAGCGGUGGAAUGCGCAGAUA